CAUUUGACUGUGGAACACUUUCUUCCCAGAUCGUCUCUUUUCAAGAUUAGUUUCCAUGGAACACACUUUGGGAAAUGCUGCCUGACAACUUUUACAAGAGUCUAACCACUGGAUUUACACAUUAAUUCAUACUCCAUUAUCCAUACCUGGGAACUCUCCUCUCAAAGAACAGUCAUUUCUCAAGGAGGAACCUUCAUUCUGCUUAGGGAAUCUGUGGUUUAAUUCAGGGAAGUGUUGCCAUGCUAUUUGGCCAGAGUUAGCCAUGUCCUCCAAUAUAGCUUUAUCAAUAGUAAAGGUGAUAUUUUCAUUUCCAUGUGUCUGAAUCUUGUGUCUCUCAAUUUGUUCAAAACUCAGGCAGACUGUUUUUACUGGGCUCAUUAAAACUCUAACAUAGACCCAUUAAAAUGGGGUUCUCCCAGACACAUUUUGAAAACUACUGCUGGAGGUUAAUGGAAAGCCAGGAACAACAGGAUCAAAUCAAGAGCUAAUGGAGGCAGGGAGACCUGAUCGAGUCCAGGAAAAUGAUGCUUGGGACCUGAUCCAGGGCGGAGAUGGUGAGGGGAGAGAGGAGGUCUCAGAGGGGCAGAUAGGUGGGCAGGACUUGAUGACUGAUGGCUCUGGGGCAGAGGGGAGCUGAGGAUGAUGUCCUUGUUGCUGACUUGGGUGACAGUGUGGAUGGAGCUGCAUGAAGAGGAAUAAAGGGAGAAGGUCAGUUGCGAUCUUGGCUGAGCUGUGUGUCCUUAACUCUUAAGAGUAAAGGAGGAGAAGCGUACCAUUGGCAAUAAGGAAGAAGAGGGAAAUUAUGAGACUAGGGUGAGGCUUUUGAAAGAAAAUCCUUUUCUGGGGUCGGAUUGGAAAACUAUAAACACAAGACACAUGUCAAGAGAAGCCUUCUCUUUGGGGCUUGACCCUGGAGGCUGCUUCACUCCAGUUCCUAUCCAGGCCCACAACUUGGGAGGUGACAUUAGCAGUUUCUCAAGCAAGAAGAGUAUUCUAAUUCAGGAGGUAAUUUGAAGAUGGAGGCAGACAUUGAAGUUGUAGGGGAGGAAGACAUUUCCUUUUCCCAAAUGGGGGUUCGUCUGGCUGGAGAACAAAUUAAAUUCACAUGAGACAGAAUAGCAAGAGAAAAUUAAACAAAGCUUUAUGAGGAACCAUGGCCUGGGGCCUUUCUUCCCGAAGGAAGAAAGGGCACCGAAGAAGUGGGGUGCACAUAGUGGUUAUAUAUCCCCAAACAGGGUGUUUCACAUGUGAUUGAAAUGUCCCUCCCACAAUAGUCACAAGAUUGUCCUGUCGGCACAGCGCUUGAUGGACACAGCAGGUAAUGGUCUGCUAUCUCGGUGGGCGUAGCAGGAGGCAAGUGGAUUGUCUGGAGCUGGGCGGUCACAGGCUGGCUCUCUCCAGUUCUUCACUCAUGUGGCCAAAACAGACGCUGUUGACCUGACCCGUCUUCACAUCACAUUUCGAGUCCCUAACAGACCAAUAAAUGGCUCUGUGGCCUGAUUCCAAAUUCCAUGGAGAGAGAAUCCCUCAGUCUUGGUCCAAUCAACUCCUGUCCACGGGUGAGAACUUGUAUCUGGGGCCUUCGUUUGUGGGUAAAGAGCCUGCUGGCAAAUAUCCUUAAAGGUUUCUCUGUGAGCACCAAAUAUAGUUUUAAAGAGCAGACAACCUCCACUUAUCCACCAACCUGGCAGGUCAGGGGGAAUCUAGCCUUCUUUUCAAAUUUUCUGUCCUGCAUUAGACAAUGUCCUUAGCCUUUUAACCUUCUGUCUCCUUAAACGCCUCUCCCCAGCAUAAACCCAUCAUAUCGCUGAGGGGGGAAAAAGCAGACGAAAAGAUUAGAUUCUCUUCCUGUUCUAAACAUGAAGUUAAUCUACUGGAAAAAAACCAUUAUUGAUUUUUAUCUUUUAUAGUCUUCUCCUGAAACAACAAUUGUGUGCUACAAUUGGCAAAAUACUUGGCUUGUUUUGGACUCAGAUCUUAAUUUUUAAAGAUUCCUGUUUGUUGUUUUUUUCAUGUUGCCUUCAAAGGGCUACUUUCGGCCAAGUGCCAUGGGAGAUAUUUGGAGGUUGAAGGAUUUUCCUUUGCCUUUAAUGCUUUGAUCAGCAAAGCAAAGCCUCAAACAGAAAUCCAAGCCAGGCAGGAGGGUGGCAGAGCGGGAGAACGGGUUCUGGGGAGCGUCCCAUUCCUUGAACUUCCUUCAGUAAUCAAGGAGACCUUGUGUGGUGCCCCCUAAGUGCUGGGCGUUGAGCUGGAGCUAGGCUUACAGAGGGCAAUCAGCUGGACAUCGCGUGUCCCACCUGGAGCGUACAGCCGUGGGAGAGGCAGGCAGAGAUAAAGAAAAUGAGGCAAGUGAAGACAUGCUUGCAUGCUAUAACAAAGGUCACGGAGGAGAGGUGCCUGGCACAGUGACAGUGCAUAACUUGCGCAAUUAGCCCAAGGGAUCAGAGAAGCCUUCUGAGGGAGGCACAUUUCCCUGAGAUCUGAAGGGUGAGUAGGUGUUUAACUAGAUGAAGCUCCUGGGGGUGGGAAGGUGGGGGAUAUUCCAGGCAAAGGGAACAUUGCAUGCAGAUAUUUAUUAUGCCAUCCAGGGAGAAACCCAUAAAAUGUAGAUUAGAGACAUACAGAGACCCACAGACUCAUGAAGGAAUGAGACAGCAUGCAGUUAUGGUCUGCUUUUUUGCCGUCUGCAGGUACAAGAGGCUGCAGGAGCUUUUCCACCAGGUCUCUGACCCCAUGUAGAUCUCCUGAGAGCACUGCAAGAGGCUCCCAGAAUCCCUGGCCUUGUUGAGUGCCCUCAGGGCUCUCUCUGGGUCAGCAUCCUCAAGAGCGUAUCAAGGAGCUGUGGGUCCACAAGAGCCUAGGCAGACAGGAAACAGUAGAUUUUGUCAGAAGGAAAGCUAAUUCUGAAAAGAGGAGCUAUUUUGCUCUCUUUUAUCUUGUCUCUAAAGGGAGAAGAUGGGGUUCUUUGGGCAUGGGAAUAUGCCCACUUGAGCUCUUCCUAUCUGAAGUCUAAAUAUCUUAGGUGUGCCCACCUGAGGUCUGCAUAGCUGAGCUUUUCCCCCCUGAGGUGUGCUUAUGUGAAGUGUGCCCACCUGAGGUGUGCCCGUCCUGCUGAGAAGGCCACCUGGAGGAGUAACUUGAUCACCCCAGAGCAAGAUCAUCAUGGGAAAAAGUAGAGGACAUGAGUAGGGGGCACUUGACCUCUUCCCAGGACUCUUUCUUGGCCGUCCCUGAUGGCCCACUCCUUCCUGUGUCUCCCAGGAGCCUGGGAUGCACCUCUCUCUCAUGGCCUGCUUUAUAACGCUCUGCCUACUUGUCUGUCUCCCCAACUAGUCUCUGGGCUCCUUGAGGGAUUGUGUCUUUUUCAUUUUUAUUCUCUGUCUAGCCCCUGACAUUUACAUGAUAAGCAUUCGAUAAAUAUUUAUUAAGGGAACGAGUACAUGAACCUUAUUAAUUUACACUCUGCUUUAGUCUCAAACAUUUUGAGGUGGAAUCAUGUUGCUUAGAAGUAGAUAAAUGGGAUUAAAUGAAGGGUAUUCCUCACAUUGCCUUGCACGUGGUGGGCACUCCAUCGUGACUCACCAACAGUGGUCAUAAAUGUCUCCACGCUCUGCUACUUAUAUGUAGCACAAUUUAUUUCUGAAUGGCAUUGAUUUUGUAACAGAGCAGUCCUUUGGGGGAGCCUUCAUAUAUCCCUACGCUGAUUAUUUCACUGAGGCAGAGAUCCUCCAAGUACCAUUCUCUUUGUACAUAAGAUCAUAUACUUCUGCCCUUUGAUUGAAGAUAGGACAUGGGUGUUUUUGUCCUAUCCCUGACUCUUGUAGGUCAGGCCCACGGGUUCCCCUAUUUUUGCAUGUGUGUAUCUGUUCAGGAAACAAAGGCUGAAAGUCCGUCAGCAAAGGCAAUUGAGGUUCCUGUGUCUCAUUCUUGCAUAAUGAGUCCUGUCAGUUAAGGCCACACAAGGGUGGGAGGAGUGGCAGCUUGCCAACCUGCUCUGUGGCAUUUGGAUAAACAAACACCAAUAUUUAUCAGAGCUGCUCUGUUGUCCUUCCUCAUCUGCUGGGACAGGGAGCCCUCCCUGUGCUUGUAUAUAGUUUUCUCUGUAUGAGAUAAAUGUUUGGGGCCAUUAACAGAAAAAAAAUGUUUGUACUCUGCUCCCCUGUUACCUAGGCUAAUUUACCGCACCAGGAGGACUUGUAGUUCAUUAAUAAUAUACAAAUACAAACCAAAGGAAGAAAUUGCCUUGUUAAUUGACUUUUGCGAUGCUAAUCUAAGACUCAUUGGCUUUAAACAUUACCCAACAACUGUGCUUGUACCACACACCUUGGAGAAAACAGAAAACUGUCCAACACAAAUGCUUGAAAUCAUUGCCUCUGGGUUUUAUAAACCCACACUCACCGCCACUGGUUUUCUUUAGAAAUCCAGAGGUAGAAGACACAAAGAAAAGAGACAAAGAGUUGAGGAUAGACUCAACCAUUCUAGAAUACAGCCCAGACAUGCUGCAAGUGAAGGCCAGGCUACCCUGGGCCAUGCUGGGCUGUGCUGGGCUGUGUAGGGUGUUGCCAGCCUCCCCAUCUCAGUCCAGAUUGAUUAGAUACAAAGAUUAAUUAGAAACGGUACUAUUAGGCUCAGUUGACUGGUCCAAUUAGGAGCAAAAUGUAUCAGUCUUAGAAACCAAAUUUCCUCCACUGACAUCCCUAGGCCAGCCUUCUGUCCCUUGUCCUCUCUGAUCAUUGCCUGUGGAGGAGACAUGAAACUUCUAUCAGUUCAUUAAUAAUGAACUGAGAGGUAGUAGAGUUGAGUGAUGAGGUUUCCCAGGACAGCCUUGAUGGUCAAAUGGACCUGGAUUUGAAUCGUACCCAUUCUCUCUUUCCCUGUGACCACCAAUCACCCACCCCUACAAGUCUAGAGCCAGAGUUUCAAGUCUGUGAAUGUGACGUAGGCAGUAGCAACCUCGUCAUCCUCUUUGAGUCUGCCAGGGCCACCUGGGUGACGAACCUGGCUCCUCCUUGAAGAAGCCACCCACCCAUGGCAUGGGGAGCCGUAUUUGUUUUACUGUAGAUUUCACAGGGCAGGCGGAGGGGAGCCUUUUCGUUGCCACAACCUUAACCCUCCUGCUUGAUUUCUCUGUUCUCCCGAGCUCCUCCUUGACCGCUCUGCCUCUGGGAUUUCUUCUCUCUGACUUGCCCUUUGGAGUCUUCUAGUUCCUCUCCCUCUCGCCUUUCUUGAUUUAAAGAAUAAAAGACAGAAAUUUGGAUCCGGUGUGCAAAGCUUGAGAUUCAUCUUUCUAUUCUGUAAAAUGGAGAUGAAAAUAAUUCCUAUCUUGUAAUGUGAGAGAGAGAAUUAAAUGAGAAUUAAGUAAAUGAACUCUAAAGCAAUGUUUUUCCAACAUGAGCCAUUUGAAAUCAGUUUAAUCAGUUGCUACUAGCAUUAAAAAAAAAAAAAAAGUAGGAUAAAAUAGAAAAUAUCAGAGGGCAUCGUGUGUAGUAGGGGUAGAUUUUAUUUGUGACUCUUUUCUUUCAGUGUUAUAUAUGUAUGUGCAUGUGUGUGUGACCACUGGUGGAUAUAAAAUGGAUUUUUUACUGUAGGUUAUGGUAAAAAACGUUUGAAGUAUUUGUCAUUAAAAUUCACCUUCAGCCUGGAGGAGGUGAUCUCUGAGACUUAGUCACAAAACCCUAAUGUUGAAAAGAUCAGAGACCCCUGAUCCAGCCUCCUGCCAGGAGGCUAUGACGUCCCACCAAAGGCACAUUCUAACAGCCCAAGGACUUAAUUCUGUUCACAAAUAUUUUUGUUAGGUUCACAUAGCAUUUAUGAAAAAUUUUUGAACUAAUUACUAUCUUUUGAAAAUCAGGAGAUAAGACAUCAAAAUCUAGAUUUUCAGCUUCUCCGGAAAAUUUGGGAGAGUUGGCUAUACCGGGCAUCUUUCCUGCAGGGUCUACCCCACCUGCAUCCUCAUUUAUCUCCUGCCUGGGCUCUGGGAGCACACAAGGCUUACUCCUUGACCUGAAGUCCUCCCCCUACCUAAGGCUUUAUGUUUCUUUUAAAGAAUCACAAAACUGGAACAUACUCGAGGGUUCCUUUGGUCCAAACCUUCAUUUGUGGGUGGAGGAAAGAGGCCCGGGGGAGGAGGAGGUAACUCAUCCAAGGUCACAUGGAUCAUUGGUGAUGUGGAUGGGAAAAGCAUGCAGGUUUCCUUCUUCCUGGGUCAGUGCCCUGUUCAGCCCUCGGGAACAAGUGGCCACCAUCCUCGUAAAAACUGAGACUUUCUUAAGCGAUGUGUUGAUUCACCUCAAAGGUCAUCAGCCCUCACUUUUUCCCUCUGUCUCAGCCAAGUCAAAUAUUUACCUUGCAAAAGUGAAAUUGGAUCCAGAAUGGUUCCUGCUUGUCUUAACACUGUAUUUGCGUGGCUCCAUCUUUGCCCUCCGUGACUUUCCUCAUGGCCUUGCCGUGACUGCGGCCGCUUAAGUACAGCUUCUGCAGGCGGAAGACACCUGGGCAAAGGGAUUCACCCGUGUGGGUGUUUGGAAAGGAUGUGUACCCCCAACGUUGUCUGGCUAUUUCUUUCACUCCAUUUCAGUUGAAGGACAG
This 6588-nucleotide long non-coding RNA is filed under the name Equus caballus (horse). Its description in RNAcentral is "lncRNA (ENSECAG00000049045.1)". Lineage: Eukaryota; Metazoa; Chordata; Mammalia; Perissodactyla; Equidae. The record is from RNAcentral.